Molecule: ribosomal RNA, 471 nt
Filed under: uncultured bacterium
Lineage: Bacteria
Description: partial 16S ribosomal RNA
Rfam family: Bacterial small subunit ribosomal RNA
Source: RNAcentral
GACGAACGCUGGCGGCGUGCUUAACACAUGCAAGUCGAACGAUGAAGCGGUGCUUGCACCGUGGAUUAGUGGCGAACGGGUGAGUAAUACGUGAGUGACCUACCUUUGACUCUGGGAUAAGCCUGGAAAACUGGGUCUAAUACCGGAUACGACCAAUCUCUGCAUGGGGUGUUGGUGGAAAGCGUUAUGGAGUGGUUUUAGAUGGGCUCACGGCCUAUCAGCUUGUUGGUGAGGUAAUGGCUUACCAAGGCGACGACGGGUAGCCGGCCUGAGAGGGUGACCGGCCACACUGGGACUGAGACACGGCCCAGACUCCUACGGGAGGCAGCAGUGGGGAAUAUUGCACAAUGGGCGCAAGCCUGAUGCAGCGACGCCGCGUGAGGGAUGACGGCCUUCGGGUUGUAAACCUCUGUUAGCAUCGAAGAAGCGAAAGUGACGGUAGGUGCAGAGAAAGCGCCGGCUAACUACGUG